CGUAACCCCUCAGUGCAGUAGCUGCAUAUUGGUAGAGAGAAAACACCAAGUUAACUCUCUGGCUUGAUUUGAGCCCCUCACUAACAUGCAUGUGCCCCUGCAAUAUCCUUUCCUCACCGUCUGCUCCUGUCCAUUGCCAAAGUUCUCCUCGAAAUGCCAAACUGGAGUGAACUUGAAGAUUUCAAGACCAAUCAGAACUGAAACCUUCUGCAGAGUAGUUUUAAAGUGACUCGGCUCAAAUGUCUGGAUUUGUAAAAUGGCACUGAGAAAGAUGAUAAUACACUGUUGGCAUUUUGGGAAGAGGUGACCAGCCACUUCUGCUGAAAAAUGAUCUGAGCCUGCUUCUACUGAUGUCAAAACUUGUAUCCCUGAAAAACUUAAAAAGAUUCAAGGCCUGCAGCAUGCUGAAUGCAGCAGUGGCAGAUGUACACCUUUGCAAAAGCAGCUUUCAUUUGUUC
Molecule: long non-coding RNA, 458 nt
Organism: Alligator mississippiensis (American alligator)
Lineage: Eukaryota; Metazoa; Chordata; Crocodylia; Alligatoridae
Exons: 4
Source: RefSeq, a predicted model, not a curated record